Molecule: ribosomal RNA, 253 nt
Filed under: uncultured bacterium
Lineage: Bacteria
Description: partial 16S ribosomal RNA
Rfam family: Bacterial small subunit ribosomal RNA
Source: RNAcentral
UACAGAGGGGGCAAGCGUUAUUCGGAAUUAUUGGGCGUAAAGGGCGCGUAGGCGGCCUGGCAAGUGACGGGUGAAAGCCCUCGGCUCAACCGAGGAACUGCCUGUCAUACUGCCGGGCUUGAGUCCGGGAGAGGUGAGUGGAAUUCCCAGUGUAGCGGUGAAAUGCGUUGAUAUCGGGAGGAACACCAAUGGCGAAGGCAGCUCACUAGGCAAUUACUGACACUGAGGCGCGAAAGCGUGGGGAGCGAACAGG